RNAcentral lists this long non-coding RNA (269 nucleotides) under Elaeis guineensis (African oil palm). RNAcentral describes it as "long non-coding RNA (EGUI_LNC064067)". The record is from RNAcentral. Lineage: Eukaryota; Viridiplantae; Streptophyta; Magnoliopsida; Arecales; Arecaceae.
AAAGACGAUUGGCUUUGGUACAAGUGGAAGAUUGAAAGAAGAGUGCCCUAUAAGCCAAUCGCAAGUAUGUUGUGAUAAAAUUUUUCUUUAUAAUUUUUUAACUCAUGAAAUGAUAUUUAUUAUUUGAGAUAUUGAUUCAUCAUAUUAGCUGCAUCUUAUUAUGUCUAAGAUUAUGAUGAACCCCAAAGAUUAGGACAAUAGUUUUAGAAGAUAUGAAUGGGUCAUGCUAGUGAGACCUAAAAUUCAAAAAUCAUAAUCUUAAACAUUUU